Molecule: ribosomal RNA, 506 nt
Filed under: uncultured bacterium
Lineage: Bacteria
Description: partial 16S ribosomal RNA
Rfam family: Bacterial small subunit ribosomal RNA
Source: RNAcentral
AUUGAACGCUGGCGGCAGGCCUAACACAUGCAAGUCGAACGGUAACAGGAAACAGCUUGCUGUUUCGCUGACGAGUGGCGGACGGGUGAGUAAUGUCUGGGAAACUGCCUGAUGGAGGGGGAUAACUACUGGAAACGGUAGCUAAUACCGCAUAACGUUGCAAGACCAAAGAGGGGGACAUUCGGGACUCUUGCCAUCGGAUGGGCCCAGAUGGGAUUUGCUAGUAGGUGGGGUAACGGCUAACCUAGGCGAAGAUCCCUAGCUGGUCUGAUAGAAUGACCAGCCACACUGGAACUGAGACACGGUCCAGACUCCUACGGGAGGCAGCAGUGGGGAAUAUUGCACAAUGGGCGCAAGCCUGAUGCAGCCAUGCCGCGUGUAUGAAGAAGGCCUUCGGGUUGUAAAGUACUUUCAGCGGGGAGGAAGGGAGUAAAGUUAAUACCUUUGCUCAUUGACGUUACCCGCAGAAGAAGCACCGGCUAACUCCGUGCCAGCCGCCGCCGUAA